AGAUAAAUCACCUGGGGGUCUUGUUAAAAUGCAUAUCUUGAUUCAGCAGGUCUGGGGUAGGAUCUGAAAAUGGAGUCUUGAUCACUAACAAGCUCCUAGGUGAUGCCAUU
This 110-nucleotide microRNA precursor is filed under the name Marmota monax (woodchuck). Lineage: Eukaryota; Metazoa; Chordata; Mammalia; Rodentia; Sciuridae. The record is from RNAcentral.